Long non-coding RNA from Myotis davidii, 413 nucleotides. RefSeq lists it as uncharacterized. The record is from RefSeq and is a predicted model, not a curated record. The transcript has 3 exons. NCBI's taxonomy places the organism in Eukaryota, Metazoa, Chordata, Mammalia, Chiroptera, Vespertilionidae.
AGAAACUAUCACGCUGGGAAAAGAAAAAAAAAAAGAUCCAAGUCAGGCCUUCAGGGCACUUACAGUCCCAAACAGCCCAGCAAACCGGAAGUCAUGUGGCAGAAAGCAGUUACUUCUUCUGCCCUGGAGAUGCUUGAAGACCUAGCAGGAAACAGGAACCAGUGUUCUGGCUGCUGACGAUUUUGGCUCUGGGGCAUUAAUGAAGCGCGCUGUCUGCGGGAAAAGGACACGAUUGGGCAGCCAUGAUGAUGACCAGGCCAGAGGAGUGAGCUACUCCUCCUCCGAGAAGCCCUCCAGGAUCACUUCGGGCCAGUGGUUUACAAAUUGGGGGCCCUUCCGAAUCACCUAGGAAGGUGAGAAGUUUGUUUGUUUGUUCUUGUUGUUGUUGUUUGAAUGUUCUUAUUGAUUUCAGA